RNAcentral lists this ribosomal RNA (500 nucleotides) under uncultured bacterium. RNAcentral's name for it is "bacterial SSU rRNA". It matches the Rfam family "Bacterial small subunit ribosomal RNA", at positions 28 to 517 of the family's 1533-position model. The record is from RNAcentral.
GAUGAACGCUAGCUACAGGCUUAACACAUGCAAGUCGAGGGGCAGCGGGAUUGAAGCUUGCUUCAAUUGCCGGCGACCGGCGCACGGGUGAGUAACGCGUAUCCAACCUUCCGUACACUCAGGGAUAGCCUUUCGAAAGAAAGAUUAAUACCUGAUGGUAUGAUGAGAUUGCAUGAUAGCAUCAUUAAAGAUUUAUCGGUGUACGAUGGGGAUGCGUUCCAUUAGGUAGUAGGCGGGGUAACGGCCCACCUAGCCUGCGAUGGAUAGGGGUUCUGAGAGGAAGGUCCCCCACAUUGGAACUGAGACACGGUCCAAACUCCUACGGGAGGCAGCAGUGAGGAAUAUUGGUCAAUGGGCGAGAGCCUGAACCAGCCAAGUAGCGUGAAGGAUGAAGGUCCUACGGAUUGUAAACUUCUUUUAUACGGGAAUAAAGUUUCCUACGUGUAGGAUUUUGUAUGUACCGUAUGAAUAAGCAUCGGCUAACUCCGUGCCAGCAGCCG